Molecule: ribosomal RNA, 702 nt
Filed under: uncultured bacterium
Lineage: Bacteria
Description: bacterial SSU rRNA
Rfam family: Bacterial small subunit ribosomal RNA
Source: RNAcentral
AACGAACGCUGGCGGCAGGCCUAACACAUGCAAGUCGAGCGAAGCCUUCGGGCUUAGCGGCGGACGGGUUAGUAACGCGUGGGAACGUACCCUUUUCUACGGAAUAGUCUCGGGAAACUGAGGGUAAUACCGUAUACGCCCUUCGGGGGAAAGAUUUAUCGGAGAAGGAUCGGCCCGCGUUAGAUUAGAUAGUUGGUGGGGUAAUGGCCUACCAAGUCUACGAUCUAUAGCUGGUUUGAGAGGAUGAUCAGCAACACUGGGACUGAGACACGGCCCAGACUCCUACGGGAGGCAGCAGUGGGGAAUCUUAGACAAUGGGCGCAAGCCUGAUCUAGCCAUGCCGCGUGAGUGAAGAAGGCCCUAGGGUCGUAAAGCUCUUUCGCCUGUGAAGAUAAUGACUGUAGCAGGUAAAGAAACUCCGGCUAACUCCGUGCCAGCAGCCGCGGUAAUACGGAGGGGGUUAGCGUUGUUCGGAAUUACUGGGCGUAAAGCGCGCGUAGGCGGAUCAGCAAGUUAGGGGUGAAAUCCCGGGGCUCAACCCCGGAACUGCCCUUAAAACUGUUGGUCUUGAGUUCGAGAGAGGUGAGUGGAAUUCCGAGUGUAGAGGUGAAAUUCGUAGAUAUUCGGAGGAACACCAGUGGCGAAGGCGGCUCACUGGCUCGAUACUGACGCUGAGGUGCGAAAGUGUGGGGAGCAAACAGG